UCCAUUCCCACUGCAGUAACCCCACAGUGCCCCAUGGAGUGUGGGUAUUCCCAUGCAGAGCUGCUGCCUUGGACAGCAGCUGUGUCAGGAGCCAGCAGAGCUUCCAAGGAGGCUCAGCAGCACAGGGACAAGGACAGGGUUCUAUUCCAUAGAACUGGCUAUUUAGAACCCUCACCCCAAUGGUGUCCCUGGGCUCACUGGACAGAGCUGCCUGGAAUGGAGCUGAUUUCACCCCCCUGAGCUCCAGGAUGGAGAAGAUGCAGUUGGUGUUUUAAAGCAGGAGAAGGCAGUGGCCAGAUGUGCUCCCAGCCUGUGCUGAGGCAGCCCCUGUGCCCAGGAAAGGGAUCUGCAUCUCUGUCUUCAGCACACCUCCAGUGGGACCUACCUGUGAAAGCUUUCCAUGACAUCUGCACUUCCAGCUGGAUCCCUGGAAAACUCCAAACUCCAUCCCACUGAUUUUCAGGAGCUUCUGGCCUCCUCCUGCCCUGCGCUCCCAGCCAGCUGGGACACACUGAGGGAACACCAAGGAGCAUCGCUGGCAGCAAGCAGGAGAGACACCAAGGCCUCUGGGCCAGAAAAACAGCCCUGGCCUCAGCAGCCAUCAUCGUUUUGACCUGGCAACACUCACCUGCAGGAAACACCCCCACCACUCUCCAGAAGAACUUUGGCCACAGAGCAAGGUGACCCUCAGGAGUUGUCUUGUUCCUGGGGAAACAAAGGGACAUUGUGUGAGCACAUUUACAGCUGCUGGGUAAAUCCUGGAAAGGGCAGAAAAAGCAGGGUUGUGGGGAAGAGUUUGGUGCUGACAUGUUGAGUGCCAGCCAGUUCUGCCCUACAGCCAUUGCAGGGGCUGGUGUGUAAAGCAGCAUUAGCAGAAGGGAAGGAGCUGCAUUUGUAGAGGAGUUCUCUUACUGGCAGCAGUCAUUCCCAUCCCUCACAAGACCUUUGGAACAACCCUGGGAUUGGCUCAGGUGUUUGGAGCAGGGUGCUGAGAAGGCCAGAAUUCCGUGUUCCAUGUGCAGCUGGGCAGUCAUUUCUCAGCAUUUGAUUUGAUGAUCCUCACAGCUUUGGAAAUAAAGAACAAAUAGUUUUCACUGUUUUUUUAA
Agelaius phoeniceus (red-winged blackbird) is the source of this 1106-nucleotide non-coding RNA. NCBI's taxonomy places the organism in Eukaryota, Metazoa, Chordata, Aves, Passeriformes, Icteridae. The record is from RefSeq and is a predicted model, not a curated record.